CCAUAAAGGAUCCGAAGGAAAGCAAAGUUUCAUGUUCGCCAAGCGGAUGAUGCGAGUUCGAUUCUCGCUACCCGCU
This 76-nucleotide transfer RNA is filed under the name Drosera capensis. RNAcentral's name for it is "tRNA-Gly". Lineage: Eukaryota; Viridiplantae; Streptophyta; Magnoliopsida; Caryophyllales; Droseraceae. The record is from RNAcentral.